Molecule: ribosomal RNA, 468 nt
Filed under: uncultured bacterium
Lineage: Bacteria
Description: partial 16S ribosomal RNA
Rfam family: Bacterial small subunit ribosomal RNA
Source: RNAcentral
GACGAACGCUGGCGGCGUGCUUAACACAUGCAAGUCGAACGGAAAGGCCCUGCUUUUUUGUGGUGCUCGAGUGGCGAACGGGUGAGUAACACGUGAGUAACCUGCCCUUGACUUUGGGAUAACUUCAGGAAACUGGGGCUAAUACCGGAUAGGAGCUCCUGCUUCAUGGUGGGGGUUGGAAAGUUUCGGCGGUUGGGGAUGGACUCGCGGCUUAUCAGCUGGUUGGUGGGGUAGUGGCUUACCAAGGCUUUGACGGGUAGCCGGCCUGAGAGGGUGACCGGCCACAUUGGGACUGAGAUACGGCCCAGACUCCUACGGGAGGCAGCAGUGGGGAAUAUUGCACAAUGGGCGGAAGCCUGAUGCAGCAACGCCGCGUGCGGGAUGACGGCCUUCGGGUUGUAAACCGCUUUCGCCUGUGACGAAGCGUGAGUGACGGUAAUGGGUAAAGAAGCAACGGCUAACUACGUG